This 848-nucleotide ribosomal RNA is filed under the name uncultured bacterium. RNAcentral describes it as "bacterial SSU rRNA". It matches the Rfam family "Bacterial small subunit ribosomal RNA", at positions 16 to 905 of the family's 1533-position model. The record is from RNAcentral.
AUUAUGGCUCAGGAUGAACGCUGGCGGUAUGCUUAACACAUGCAAGUCGAACGGAAUGCUUAGGCAUUUAGUGGCGGACGGGUGAGUAACGCGUGAGAAUUUGGCUUCAGGUCGGGGACAACAGUUGGAAACGACUGCUAAUACCGGAUAUGCCGGAAGGUGAAAGGCUUGCUGCCUGAAGAUAAGCUCGCGUCUGAUUAGCUAGUUGGUAGUGUAAGGGACUACCAAGGCGACGAUCAGUAGCUGGUCUGAGAGGAUGAUCAGCCACACUGGGACUGAGACACGGCCCAGACUCCUACGGGAGGCAGCAGUGGGGAAUUUUCCGCAAUGGGCGAAAGCCUGACGGAGCAAUACCGCGUGAGGGAGGAAGGCUCUUGGGUCGUAAACCUCUUUUCUCAAGGAAGAAAAAAAUGACGGUACUUGAGGAAUAAGCAUCGGCUAACUCCGUGCCAGCAGCCGCGGUAAUACGGAGGAUGCAAGCGUUAUCCGGAAUGAUUGGGCGUAAAGGGUCCGCAGGUGGUACUGUAAGUCUGCUGUUAAAGAGUCUGGCUCAACCAGAUAAAAGCAGUGGAAACUACAGAACUAGAGUGCGUUCGGGGCAGAAGGAAUUCCUGGUGUAGCGGUGAAAUGCGUAGAUAUCAGGAAGAACACCGGUGGCGAAAGCGUUCUGCUAGGCCGCAACUGACACUGAGGGACGAAAGCUAGGGGAGCGAAUGGGAUUAGAUACCCCAGUAGUCCUAGCCGUAAACGAUGGAUACUAGGCGUGGCUUGUAUCGACCCGAGCCGUGCCGGAGCUAACGCGUUAAGUAUCCCGCCUGGGGAGUACGCACGCAAGUGUGAAACUUAAA